Molecule: transfer RNA, 72 nt
Filed under: Camelus bactrianus (Bactrian camel)
Lineage: Eukaryota; Metazoa; Chordata; Mammalia; Artiodactyla; Camelidae
Also listed under: 2 other names
Rfam family: tRNA
About the family: Transfer RNA (tRNA) molecules are approximately 80 nucleotides in length. Their secondary structure includes four short double-helical elements and three loops (D, anti-codon, and T loops).
Source: Rfam by way of RNAcentral
GAAGGUAUAGCUCAGUGGUAGAGUAUGUGCUUACCACGUGUGAGGACCAGGGUCCAAUCUCCAGUACCUCCA